This 18120-nucleotide long non-coding RNA is filed under the name Lactuca sativa (garden lettuce). Its description in RNAcentral is "long non-coding RNA (LSAT_LNC009497)". The record is from RNAcentral. Lineage: Eukaryota; Viridiplantae; Streptophyta; Magnoliopsida; Asterales; Asteraceae.
UGUAUCUCAAAAUAUCAUAAUAAUUGUCAAAAUAUCAGAGUAUAAACUUCCCAGGCUAAAAAGAUGGUGUGUGCACUGCAAUCUUCCUGAGCUCCUCUUUUGAAAACUGAGUACCUGAAACCAAAACUGAAAUUGUAAGCAUGAAGCUUAGUGAGCUCCCCCAAACUACCACAUACCAUACAAUAACAUAUAAAGCACAUACUGGGUCUUGCUCACUGCAUCAGACCGAAGUCCGGAACUAACUAGGGCCUUGCCCUCUACAUCGGACCGAAGUCCGGAACUGACUAGGGCCUUGUUCUUUGCAUCAAACUGAUGUCCGAAACUGACUAGGGCCUUGCCCACUGCAUCGGACCAAAGUAUGGAACUAACUAGGGCCUUGCCCACUGCAUCAGACCGAAGUCCGGAACUAACUAGGGCCUUGCCUACUGCAUCGGACCGAAAUCCGGAACUAACUAGGGCCUUGCCCACUGCAUCGGACCGAAGUCCGGAUCUGACUGAACAUAGCAUAACAUAAUCAUAACAUAUACAAUAACACAUAUACUGCAUCGGACCGCAGUCCGCAACACAUAACACAUAGACAUGCAUGAAUCACAAAGACAUCAAGCAUACUGAACUACUUCUCGGGACCACCCCAGCAUCGGACCGAAGUCUGGAACUACUGCUAUCUAAUCGGGUCGGCAUUGUGGGUGUAGACCAGUUCCUACUCGAAGGAAACUCACCUCACAUGCUGAAGUCCCGCUGACAAAACCAUAGCUAUUGGAUGACAGAUUCCCGAUCUGUCAAUAUCAAAAUAACACCCAAUUAAUAAUUGGGUUCCAACUCAUAGUCAUAAGUCCAUGCUUGGGUAAGAGAUUACCUUACCCCAAUGUUAGCUUGAAUCAAGCCCAAGGCCCAAUCCAAAGGCCCAAAGGUCUAAUAAUGGACCAAAGCCCAACUAUGGCCCAUUUAUGGCCCAAUUUUCCCAAUUGGGCCCAAAUCUCUACAUGGUCUUGAUCAAAAGCCCAACCAUUUAGUUCAGUCCAACAUUUGGCAUUCUAAUGGCCCAUUAUCAUAUAACCAUCAAGGCCCAAACUAUGACCCAAUUUUCCAAAUUGGGCCCAAACCCUCAUAUGGGCCUUACCCUAAGACCAUUAAAUUAUUCUAAUCCGUUUGCUUGCUCUUGGAUGGUCCAUUAUUAUCCCAAUCACCAAGGCCAAAUAGGAAGGCCCAACUCAAGUCCAAGUGAAAUUAGGGUUUCAGAUAAAAUGACAAUUAAGGUUAAGUGUUUCUCACUUAACUCAUUAAGGACUUAAUCCAUUAAGUCCUGUACUCUACUAGAUAAAUGAUAUGGAAUAAUUUGGGCUUAAUUACACAAUCCAAUCCCAAUGGCCCAAAGGUGGGUCCCAAUAAGUCUAAGGCCCAAAUACUCACAAUUAGGGAUUUCUACCCAAACAUGGCCCAAUAGGCCCAAAAUUAAUCUUUAAGCCGAUUAGGGUCUUGCUAGGUCCAUUAGGGUUUUGCUUGGGGGGCACCACCCACUACCACCUCGGGUAGUGGUGGUCAACGGCGGUUCACGGUGGCGGACACCACCUUACGAUGGUGGUUAUGGUUCUUUUCAUUACAUUUUCUACUAAUUACAAAUACAAGUUUUUAAUCCAUAAAUAAACACACACACACACACACACUAACUACUCUAACACACACACAACCACUCUAGUGGUGGCCGGCGGUGGCUUGUNNNNNNCAGCCACCACCUCACGGUGGUGGUGGUGGCUUUUCCCAUGAACUCCAGCUAGGCAAAACACACACACAUACUUUAGAUUGCACACAACCCUCCAGCCACCCACCUGGUGGCUCAAGGGGACAACAACGAUGAUUUUGGGAUGGCAACCACCACCUCACGGUGGUGGCGUUGGUUUCUGUUGGUUCCUAGACAAGUAGCACCACACCCACGCGACUUCAUUUGCAAGACGCACCCAUCCACCCAACUGGUGGUGUUUGGCAAUGGCAGCAACAACUCAAGCGGCUCAUCGGUGGCAUAACGGUGGCUAACAACGGCGAUGAUGUACAGCUGGACAAGGUGGCAACAACGAUGUACCAUCAGAAAGAAAUGGAGAAAAGAGAAGGCUGAGCGACGGGGAACUGAGCAAGGGAACGCACCUGUAACAUCCCAAAAUUCAAGAGUAAAAAUUUCUUUUAAUAAAACAUUACUUAAAGCAAAAUCAUCAAUCCAAAACAUAAUCAGAGUAUUAAUUUCCAAAAACACAUGUUCGUUAUCAGAGUAAAACAUUCCCAGGCUGUCUAAUCUAUGGUGUGUGCCAUGCGAUCACCCCGAGCUCUUCCCUCCGCUACCGGAAGUACCUGAAACCAAAACUGAAAACCGUAAGCACGAAGCUUAGUGAGUUCCCCNNNNNNNNNNNNNNNNNNNNNNNNNNNNNNNNNNNNNNNNNNNNNNNNNNNNNNNNNNNNNNNNNNNNNNNNNNNNNGGCCCCGCCUGGCUGCGAGCCUCGCUCGGAUACAGAUUUGUUUCACUUAGGCCUCGCCUGUCACUGGGUCUCGCCCGCCAACAUAUAAUAGCACAUAAACAUAUCACAUCACAUAAGCUAAACAUAUACUAACGGAUCCUAUCAUAAGGCCUCGCCUAUCCUGGGCCUCGUCCUUGUCCUGCUACGGAGGAGUCAUGGAACCCCGUCCAUGCUCCUACUGAUAGUGAGAUACGGGCCCAACCCACACUCACUCUUUCCCUAACUUGGGCCUCGCCCUUGAUCUGUUGCUAAUGAGAUGUGGAACACCAUCCACACUCUGCUAUUGGUGAGAUACGGGACCUCGCCCACACUCACCUCCCUACCAGGCACAUACAAGUAUCACACAGACAACAAGUAUAAACUAUCACAUAAACCAUUCCUUGGGCACCCGCCCGCUAUCAUUGGACCUCGUCCCGAAUAUCAUACUAGCAUACUGUGCCUAGGGCUAACCCCCGGGUCUUCUACUCAUAACUACAUGGGCCGGCAUUAUGGCCUUAGACCCAUUCACACAAAGGGAAACUCACCUGCACUUGCUGAACUUGCUGAUAGCCCCUCUAGCCGCUAUCCGACAACUCUUUGAACUCCUGCUCUACUAGCUCCCCGAGCUACCAAUAUCAAAGCAACACUUAGUCUAACUGUCCCCCGAAAGUCAACUAAGUCUCUGGUCAAAGUCAAAGUCCUGGUCAAAGUCAACCUUCUAGGUCAACCCUACUCGCCGAGUCUACCUACUGACUCGCCGAGUUCAUUAACUCAAAAUCCUUUCAUCCGUGACUCGACUCGCCGAGUCUACCGAUUUCCGAGUCCUGACCUGUCCAACUCACUGAGUCCCUACAUAACAGACUGAUCCGAGUCUUAACUCGAAGGGUUUGGGGUUUCGCGUCUCGACUCGCCGAGUCCAAGGCAAUCUUCAACAGACUCGCCGAGUUGUUCUUACAACUCGCCGAGUUCCUGCCCAACUUCAUCCAACUCCCCGAGUCGACCCAUGUGACUCGUCGAGUCGCUCUAGUUCUUAAUCCAUACAGUGGCUUUUCGAGCCAUGCAGGGGCUCCAAAUCAUAGAUCCAUACUUCCAAAACUCAAUCCUCACGUAAAGUUGCAAACUUUACGUAUAACUAAAGAGAUCUUGGCUCAAAACACACUAGGGCUAGGUUUAAGGACAAAAGGGCUUCACCAACUACUCAUCUUCUGAUGCUUUAUGACAUAUUGGACCAUCCCAACACUAGAUCUGAAGUGGCAACAACAUAUCUAAGCCCCCAAACUCGAAUUGGGUCUCAAACAACCAUAAAACCCCCAAAUCUCAUAACAAAAAUAGAUCUAGAUGCAAAGGAUGGAAAAUAGCAGCUUAUUACCUCCAAGAUGAACACAAACUGAAGUAGAUCUCAGAUCUCCACCUCUCCUUUGAAGCAACCUUCUUGAUCUUCAAGUUCCUUUCUAAAGUUUCCUUCCUCCAAAGCUAUUUCUCUCAAAUGGUGGAAGCUCACACGGAAUCUAGGGUUUACAGGUUCUCUAGGAUGAUAUGGAGGCUGAGGGAGGGACAUAACACCCUUUAUAUAGGAUACAACUCCCGGAAUUAGGGGUUUCUUCGUUCAGACCAGACUCGCCAAGUCCCCUUAGCCGACUCGCCGAGUCGGUCACUUACUCCUCGACCCGGAUCCCGCUCGGACUCGUCGAGUUCGUCCUUGAACUCGACGAGUCGGCCCUUUGACUUAGGGUUUCCUUUCCUUUCUUGACCUUCCAGAUUUUGGGUGUUACAGCACCCGAUCACAGCCACCCUCAUAGUGGCCCAUGGCAGUUUUAGGGAAAGCUUCAUCCACAGCCACAACCUCUGAUCGAUAAACUGAUGGUGGCGAUAACUCGACGACAGAAGAAACGGAGACGAGGGGGCGGCGGAAAACGAUGGCAAUAGAACUCAAUAGAACCCACCUUGAUGAACGACUACUUAUUGUCUUCAUCGAACCUCGGUGGUUCUCCGGCAGCAGCGUCGCAAUGACCACCUUCCAUUGUAGUGUAUCUGUCGGCGGUAGGCAUCCCCGUUGAUCGGAAUAGCGAAUAGAAGGGAGGUGGUGGUGGAUGACUUCACUCAUGGCGGCUGGAACCUCUUAGGUUUAGGGUUUGGGAGUAAUAAGGUGACGGGAAGGAAAGGUCACCGGGUAUAUCCGCUCCAAUACAAAUGUCCUUUCACUUUUGUCACAUAUAGCCCCUCCUUAUCAGUUCUUAUUCAAAUUAAGCCCCAAAAUUUACCUUUUAGCCCCCGCCCCCAAGAAUCUAUUCAAUCUAAGUCCAUAAUUUACCAUUUAUACCCUGCCUUAUGAAUUCAAUUUCAUAAUAAAUCCUAAUAAUUACCAAACAUACCCCCACUUCUAAAAUCCUUCUCAAAUUAAAUUCAGGAAUUUACUAAACAACCGCCAACUAUCGAAAUUCUUCAAAAUUUAGUCUGGGAGUUACAUUUAUUAAUUUAUUUGUUUAUUUAUUAAUUAAACGGGGUGUUACUACCCUCCACCACAUAAUUUGGAUUUCGUCCUCGAAAUCAACCUUUAUAAUUCCUCACAUGCCAACCUAAUCAAGUAACCUGGCCACAACCCUGGGCACACCCAAGACAUCUCAGGGCACCCGUGACCAACCCGCGUAGGGUUCUAAAAUUGGUAGAUAAAUGAGUUCCUCGCAACAAGAUCACAUCUACUCCAUCUAAAAUUUGCUGUCUCGAGAUAGUAUGAAUCCCUGACAGACUGCCCAUACUGAAAUCAUUAUCGAUGCACGCAGUCCACUUGUCUCUCAAAUGCUUACUUAACUUCUGAUAACACGAGGUUCCCAUUAGAAACAGAAUCAUAGAUCCCCUUAUCCCUACGAUUCAAUUGUACCUGGCCAACGCUCUGAUAACCCCGCUGUGAGUGACUUAGCAUAACCCAAGCUAUCUGUGAUUCUAACCAUACAUGAAAUCCCAAAAUAACAUUACUGCUGGAGACCUAAAACUGUCUGAAACACUGAACUUCUGGAAACACUGAACUACUACAUGACCAUUGGUAGCCUCAUGUCAUGAAUGACCUUAAGCAGUCCCCUGCUUCCUUGCUCUCAUAACUUUAGUGGCGCUCUGACAGUCUUAUCACCGGUUCAACCAUAUCUAAUCCAUCUAGGUAAUUCCAAAAUCCAAUCCGUAGAUUUCCAUAUCCUCACUGCUACACCCGAACUGGUGGGUACUAUUGUUCCUUCCGCGACCUAACAACGCUCUCACGUUAUCUACCAACCUAGUAAAUGCUUAUGGCUACACCCGUAAACUUAUAACACUCUACCACUAUUUGGCUGCUAGUGAAUGCUAUGACUACACCCACAGACUUACAACACUCUAUCACUAUCUGGCUGCUAGUGAAUGCUACAGCUACACCUGCAGACUUACAACACUCUCCAUACUGGAUCGACACAUGCUUGACCCGCACUCACUUGAACUCAUGUCCUGACUGAAAUCCUCAACCUGAUUCCUUAAGGUUUUCUGGAAAACAUUACGGGAACACCAUCUCCUUAUUGGCAAGUUUUUCCGAACUUCCAUCUCGCACUAUCCUCAAACCAUACCGCUGCUUGGGCUGUCUUCCUUCCUGACAAGGAUACGAAACUUAUCCCAGUUUCAAAGCUUCUCCUACUUCUGAAUCCUUGGAUGAUUCUCCCCCACUUUGAUCCAAAUAACGUCUUACAUCACACAAUACUGGAAGGAUUCUCAAUCCUUCUUAUCAUUCCAUGCCCAAUCUGUUGAAAACCACGUUUACCAUUGCUAGUGUUUCAAUACUAGCCAGUCCAAAAGAUCACACCACCUCCAUGAACCCAAAUAAAUCUCCGGUAAUAACCCGCUAGACCCAGGAAGCUCCGAAUCUCAGUUGGAGACCUCAGAAUCUCCAACUGCAUCCCAGCCUCUAUCUGGGCCGGAUCAACUAGUACACCCUUCUGGUUGACAGGGUGCCCAAGGAGUUGCACUUCACGCAACCAGAACUCACAUUUGGAGAACCUUGCAAAAAAAAUUCUCCCCCUCCUCAAAGUCUCUAGCACCUCCCUCAGGUGCUUCUCGUGCUGCUCCUCAGUCUUGGAAUAAACCAAGAUGAUGUUGUACUCUCCCAAUCCCGCAAUUUGGGAAAUGAUCUUUCGCUAUCCACUAAUAAUUCUCGAUAUGUAGUACGGAUCUCACACACUACAAGUUCCCUGGUCUUAUCUCAUCCUUCCUUGAUUCAAGUACGAAUCCUCUGCUUUCAGUAGUACGGGCCCAUACUGAUGGGUUUUGAGCAUUCUAACACCCCUAAGUAUACAGGAAACCCUAUAAAACCUUGGAUCUAUGUUUGUCUAAAAUACAUGAAAAAUAUGAUUUCCAAGGUUCAUAAUCCUAUCUAGCAUACAUGGGGAACUUUUAAUCUAAAAGAUGGCUAGAAUUACAUACCUUGUAGUUGAUUUGAUUCCUUAGAAACCUUGAGAUCCUAGCACCCCAAGUGUGAUGCCUUAAGUACUUCACACAACACCAAAUGCUUUAGAAUAACUUUAGAGUAUGUAUAACACUUGUAUAAAUUGGCUUGCCCUCUCUUGUUCUUAGUGUCAAGUCACUACUAGAAAAACAGCCUUUUACGACGCUCAUUGUGCGUCGUAAAAGGCUUAGACGACGCGCAAAUGCGCGUCAAGGAAGGCCUUGUCAUAAAGAGAGACGAAGCGCAUUUGCGACGCUCAUUUACGACGCACAAUUAUGACGCACGUUUACAACACGCAAUGCAUAUCAAGGAAGGCCCUGUCAUAAAGGAAGACGACGCGCAUUCGCGUGUCGUGACCUUACGACGCGCGUGUUAAUGACACACAAUGCGUAUCAAGAAAGCCCCUGUCAAGAAAGGCCAUGCAUAAAUUAAGAUGACACACAUUUUUUGCAUAUCGUAAAUUUAAAUGUUUAAAAAAAAAUUAUAUAUUUAUUAAUUUUUAAAUUAAAUUUGCAUUUAGUUUCUCAUAAUAGAAAUAAAAUACCAUAUACAAAAAAUACAAUCAAUUGCAUAAUAUAAAAUAAAAUUUCAUACUCAAACAACAAAAUAAAUUGCACAAAUUAUAAUGUCAUACAAAGAAUCAUUCAAAUGUUAAACAAAAAUAAUGCAUUGCUACAUGGGUUAUACAUUCCUAUAAAACUAACAAAUAAUCAUACAACUCUGUUUCUUACUGGAAAGGAAUGCCAAACAUGAUUACAAGUCUCCCUUAAUCUUGAUUACUCACCUGCUUAAGUAGAAUGCUAUUAUUGAGAAGGUUACCUAGCAACAGAGAAAAUCACAACGCCUCUCCCACAAUCACAACAUCAUUUACAGAAAAGGGUUGUCAAUUACUUUCAUUAAUAAUUUCAUUCAAUCACAAAAAUAUUAAAUAAAAGGGUGAAAAAAAUAACUUACUUUUGAUAAGUUGAUCUCCCUUAGAGCAAACACAGCUAAAGCAUUGAACAAGACCCUAUUUCAAAAUUUUGUAAAUACACAAAUCAUGAUACCUGAUACUGGAAUACACACUUUGAGACAUGAAUUAAUACGAGUAGAUUAACCUGGAUACAUAGGAAGUAAAGAUGGAAGGUGCCAGAACUCCGGGGGCAUUGGGUUGGUUCCUUCCCACUCGCACACACCAAGCCAGAACUCCACUUAAUCCAACACCAAAAUAAGCCUGCAUUUAGAAAGCUGCAGGGGUGAGUCACAAUUCAAGAAUCUGUUAAAAUUUGAGGAAUAACAAGUUCAACCAAAACAAUAUUAGAAAACAGUGUUAAAUGUGAAUCAUAACAAUGUAAUAAUUAUCAAGGUGCUGGAAUACUUGAAAUCUAGAUUAUUUACCUUUUGAUUGUAAAUCUAAAGAUUCCUCAUGCACAGAUUAUGUUCUUGUCAACUCUUGCACAGUGGUAAAUUUCAAUUUAGCUGGUUUGUCUGUUCUUUUCACCUGAUCUUUUCAUCUCUAGGCAUCCUAUCUAUUUAUUCGUUGCAGACUAGUGAGCUUCCAUCAUUAUGUUCUUGAAAUCUUGAUUGUUAAACUUCUAAUUUUGAAUCUGAGCUUUUUAUUACAAUGUUACUAUUGUAGCACUUACUUAAUGCACACAUAUUUACUAUGAUUAGGUUCUUGUCAACUCAUACAUGAUGUUAAAUUGCAACUGAGAUAUCCAUUAAAUCCACGUAAAAUGACUAUUUCGCCCACAUUUUUGUAUUUUUACUAAUUCUUUUGUACAUUAACUCACAACAAUGAACUUUGAAUCAAAUGAUCCAGACUUCCAUUUUACUUCUCAUGAACUGUAUCGUAUUUCUUAUUAGGAAUCAAGUUUAUUGAUGUUAAAUCAACUCUCUUAACAUUUCUUUCCUAUCUUGUAGUUUUUACUAGUUUGCUUUAUAACAUUAAUGGUAAAGUAAGACUGUUAUCUCCUGACAUUGAUGAUAAAAUAGACUUCUUAAUUCCAAGUUCAAGUAUUCCAGCACUUUGCUUUAUAACAUUAAAUGGUAAAGUAAGAAAUAACCUUUAUGUUGUUCGAGGAAAACAAUAUUUGCCUCCAUCCGAGAUUUGUCAUGCAAUUGACUACAAGAGAAAACCUAGAAUUUAUUUCACAAUACAUAAAAAAUAAAAAUAUUUAACGCUCUAAAAGGUAAUUAAAAAAUCCAUUUAACAACCUGAUAGUAGGUCGCUCUGCUUCAAGGACAGCGGAAAUCAGUUUUUCACCACCAGUGACAAGAGCUAGCCUUGAUGCCAUUUUAUGGAAGAAUCUUAUCUGUAAAAAGAAUAAUAUAUGAAGGGUUCCGAUCACCAUACACAUUGUCCACACGACCUGUCACACAUAAUUAACCCAACCAUAGUUAAUCAAUCUUUAAGCACAUCAAUCAACAAUUCAGGAUUCAAAAAAAAAAUUUUUAAUUAUUCAGAUUAAAUUUUAUGCAUGAGAGAGAGACGAACAUGUAGUAGGCCAGAACUUAGCUGCACGAAGCCAUGGUGCAGGGUAAGCUGCAUAUUCUAUGGAGUAUGGUUUUGUCCACUUAUCAGCCAUGAGUAGUUGUGGUGGAUGAGGUGCUCCCUACAUUUUUUUAAAUUUCCAUCAUUAUCCCUAAUAUAACUCUUGAACAAAUAAUACAAAACAGUCAGAACUUAGUUAUUGUUAUAAUUACCUUGAUGACAUUGUUGUUGAUGUUCACCGUUCCUUUCUCAAUUUCUGAUAUUUCUUGUCUAAUGGAGAUCAAAGCAUCACAAAACCUGUCCAACUCAGCCUACAACACAAAAAUUCCACAUGUUAUGUCAUAUAUGUAACGCCCGCAAAUCCGGGCUAGUCAAUUUAGAGGAAAUAGGGGUCGAAAACGACUUUUUGACAAAAGAUUAUUUAGAAUAAAUAAUCUUAACCAAGUUAUGGAAUAUGUCUCAAGGUUUCCGUACAUAUAAAGAACGCCGAAAUCCGAGUUAUAACGAAGAAGUUAUGGCCCGUCGAAGUUUUACGGCAAAACCGGCACGGCGCCGGGAAGCGUAAAUAGCGAAUUUACGAUAGAGCGAGAUUUAGUGUUAGCAAUCUAAAAAAAAGUUGAAGAAUAUGUUAAACUAAGAGCGUCGAUAAAAAGAACGCCCAAAUCUGACUUCGUAUGAGGAAGUUAUGAUUUUUCUAAGAUUCGGCUUAGCAGUGCACGACCCGAAACUCGAAUUUUAGUUCGAGCGGGUUUUGGCUUAUGCGACCUAAAUGAGAGUUGAAGAUCUCAUUAAUAGGAACUCAACAGUAAAAAGAUGGACAAAAACGGAGUCCGUAUGAAGGAGUCACGAAUUCUUUGCGGUCAUUUAGCAGUCUAAUCUUCUCCUACUGUUAAAUUUAAGAUCGGUCAAGAAUUAGCCAAUGGAGUCUAAAUGAAAGUUGUAGAUCUUGUUUUUCAAUACGUGUGGAAAAAAAGAACGUCAAAAACGGAGCUCAUAUGCGAGAGUUAUGAUAUUUCUAAGUCGGGAGGCUGCUGUGCGAAAUCGGGUGACGUGGCGCAAUCCUAGCCGUUGCUUCCUCCCCAAGGCUAGCCACCAGAUGGUGACACCUGGCCUGGAACUCGACGAGUUUGAGACCAACUCGACGAGUUUGAGGCCAACUCGACGAGUUUUUGGCUUUUCGAGCCUAUAAAAAGGGUGCCGGGGCAUCCUCAUUUCUCAGCCCUUCCAAGUUCUCUUUCUCUCUCUAGAAUCUCUCUCUAAGCCUCCCUAACCCCCUAAAGCCAAGGGUAAACCCCCUAGCACCCGAAGGAAGCCCCGAGGCUCCCGGAGCCUCGAGAAAAAAGCCUUUCGGCUCUGGAACGCUGCUCCAGCGAAGCCUGGUUUUGCGAAAAACCCGCUGUAAGUGAGUUGUACCUACCCUAUCUUUAGUAUAGCUAAUGAAAGGAAAGGAAAAAACAUUAUAACUUUUAAAGAAACUUUACCUUUUUUUUUUUCAAAAAAUACCUUGCUUUCACUUUCAGUGGGUUCAAUCAUUAGUGUUCCUGGAAUUGAACAUGACAUAGUUAGACCAUAAAACCGGUAAUCAAUCAGACGUUUUGCAACAUCUUCUGGCUCUAUUCCAGCACUUGUCUGAAUAUGAAUAUGAUUCAAGUUAGUUUUUAUUUCUUUUUGACUUAACAAAAAAUAUGACUAAAUAAUAUUAUAACUUACUUUCAAGGGUCUCAAAUCAACGAUGAACUCAUGGGCAACUGUUCCACUCACACCACGGAAAAGAAUGGGAUAGUGACUCUGCAAUGUAAUUAAUCCCAAAGGAAAAAAAUUGAGAACUUGAUAAUAACAAUAAUUAAAAAAAUAUUAUAUAUUUGUUCUUUAUGAAUAGAGAAAGAAAGAAAUUGAGACCUCAAGACGUUUUGCCAUAUAGUUUGCAUUCAAGAUAGCUAUACUGUAUGCAUCUGUAAGUCCUUGAGAUCCCAUCAUGGCAAUGUAUGUAUACGAUAUAGGCAAGAUAAGUGUUGAACCCCAAGGUGCUGCUGAAACCGUGCCAAGUGGCUUACUCUACUCAGGGGCUGCCUCUAGUGGCAACCAUUAAAUCAAGAUUUACAAAUUAAUUUAUAUAAACUUAACAACAUAUUACUCUAAUUACACAUAAACAUCAAACUAAAAAAAUUAUUGUUUUGUCUUACCACAGGGUGUGAAGGCAAGUAGGGUGCCAAGUGUUUCUUCACACCAAUGGGGCCCAUUUCGGGCCCACCACCACCAUGUGGAAUGCAAAAUGUCUUGUGAAGGUUUAGAUGACAAACAUCAACCCCAAUCCACCAUGGACUUGUUAAUCCAACCUGUAAAAAAUAAAAACCAAAUAAUUUUUAUAUGAUGUUUCAAUUUUGUUAGCUCCAUUAAAACGACACAAGAAGUGCAAUGUUCAUGUACCUGUGCAUUCAUAUUCUCCAGUAGCUCCAACAUUUGGUUGCAAAGAGAAAGAGUCAAAUCCGGUUAUGGUACACAGAAUGUCCCCCAAAUUCUUGAACACUUCCUGCAAGAUAUUUUUUUAUGUUGCUCUCAGGUUAAAAAAAAGUCAACAGAAAUAUAAUUUGGAAUCGUAAGUCAAAAUUAGAAAGAUUUGAUUACCUGAUACCCCUAUGCUUGUUGGGUAGGAGCAAAAGGAUGCAUAUCUGCAAAGGCUGCCAUGUCACAGGCAUCAUCUCUGUAGUUGCAUUAAGCUUCAUGGUGCAAUAUCCCAAAGGAAUCAUACUGUGGCAUAAUGACAGAUCCUUUGACUGCAGCUUACUAAUGUAUCUUAGUAGCUCAUGCUCCGUAUGAUAACCAAAAUAAAUAAAUAAAUAAAGAAGCAGGAAAAGCCUUUUACAUGUUAAAAAAGUGACUAGGUUUUGAAAAAAAGUAUCAUGCGUGUUGAAAAUCGAAUGAGUCAGAUAUGGAGUCUCUCUGACAAGUCCGGAAGGGAUAACAUCCUGAACCUCUGGUGCAAGUGAUGUGGCACUGAAUGUCACCUAGAAUCAAGAAUCAAGAUUCUUGAUUUAUAUAAAGAUUUGUUAUAUCAAAAGAAAGGACAAACUCAUGGGUUUUCCUAAGGCAAAAACUUUGAACAUCCUGAACCUCCGCCAUGAGAACCCACUUCAGCUUCCGCCGUUAUUUCACCAACUCCGGCCAUUAGAUGUAAUCAUGUGUGCAGAUACUUACAUUACCAAAGAUAGGACCGGAGGCAAGAGCGGAUGAACUUGGUUCAGAAAACCAGAAGGGUGAUUAUGGUUUUCCAGAGAGAGAGAGAGAGAGAGAGAGAGAGAGAGAGAGAGAAUGCACAUUAGGAAUGAUGCCCUCAGCCAUUGCCCAAGCCAAUCAGAUACGAAAUUGAGGGCUUUAAGCACAGUGGGAUGAAAAUAUCACAUAUAGCUACAAUAUAAACAAACGGAUCUAGAAGUAAGUAAUGUUACUGGUAAGAAUAAUUAGCCGACAGUCAUAAAUGAUAAAUGCAUAAAGUUUUUAUUUCACUUGAAGAGAUUUUCUACUGAGGUGACCUAGAUUUGGUUCUUUGUGAUCUGAAAUAUCAACGAUUCAAGAGUGAAUUACUUGCUUAUUGUUAUGAUCUGUAUAGAAUUCAUUUAUGUUUCUCACUCAAAAACUUGAUUGUAUAGAUGAACAAAUACUAAGAUGAUCUCAAAUUGACAAGCGUAUAAUCGCAGAAACAAUUAGAAACAACCAACGAGCAAAAUGCAGGCAAGCAAACUUUAAAUUAUUCAGGUAGAAAGCACAAAUUGCAUAUCUAGUUACAUUCAUUUACAAAUCAAAUCAGAUUAACUCAAGUAUUAUAAAUCGGAUUGAUCUAAAUCAAAUCAACAUGAAGACCGAUCUAUUCGAAAGAAGUAACGGAGGAGAAAACGACUUACGGAUAGGAGACAGAAGGUGGAUCCAGGACUUAGAACCCCAAUCGCCAACAUCGUGAGUGAUGGAGGCGUUGAUUGUUGAUGAUGAAGGGCCGUUACGGUUUCAUCAAUUUCGAGUACGGUAGUACUAGGUGGGGGAGGAUAAGAUAGCUUCAAAGAAGGUCACAAAUCUGGAGCAAGGAAGAAGGAAGACAUCGUUGCGAAUUGACGGUGGUUGUGUCUAAGGUUAGAUUGACGGAGGAGGGAGAAAAUGGCUCUCUGUAUGAUUUUAUGAGAGAUAAGGGAGAUUACUUCAAAAUUUUAGAAUUUUCUAAUUUUAGAGGAUCCCUCUUUAAAAACGCGCGUUUAAAUGAAAAAAAAUGUAAAGCGACAUUUGUAGACGACGCCCAUUUAAUUUAGGUGCCCUCCAUGUUUGUAAAUUUUUUUUGUGGGACAAUAAUUUUAGGGCAUGCACAAAUGCGUAUCUUCUAUCCUUCAAAUUUUGGAAGGCUGACAUUAUUUUUAAGAACACAUCAAAAUGUGUAUCGUAAAUCAGUGUGUGUCAUUGUUCGCACGUCAUUAAAGGGUAUUUUUCUUGUAGUGAGUCGAUUUUGGUGUGCAUCAAGUUCUUUAUAUAGUGUGUCACAUCUAGGGUUACACCAUGUAAACCCUAAUGUGACAUGAGUCUUCAUUUCCAUGACCCAUGGGUUUGUAACUCCCAUGGAGCAUCCUUUGGGUUUAACCCAACUUGAUAAUCCAUGGAGCCUUUUAGCCCACUAUACAAGUUAUGGAUGAUUUACAUAAUCAACCCAUAUAUUUAAUUAGUUAUCUUUUGAUCACUUAAUUAUUUCCAAAUUAAUUCUUGAUCAAUACUAAUUAAAUAAUACUAUUAAUAUAUUAGAACUUAUAAUAUAUUAAUAAACCACAAGUGUUAUUUCUCUCAUUUAGUCUAUCCAAAUGCAUGGUGCCAUGCAACCCAAAUGCACCAUGCCGGGUUGGGUCAAGUACAUACAAAAUAUAGUUAUGAACUUAGACACCUUAUCCAACACAUACUACCUUCCACAUCUAUCCUUACUUUCCUCAAAAACUGCCUUGACUCCACCAAGUCCAUUCUACUGCUACUGCUCUCUGCUACUCUCAUCCUAGGAUUGUCCUAGGGUAAUCACCUUUCCACUCUUCGCCAUCAGCUGCAUAAGAAGUCCCAGCUUUCUUCCCAUAACUAGCUCGCGAAUACUAUUACAUAUCACUCAGACUAGAUAAUUCUUCGAAUGAGAGAUCCUACCCUGCAAUGGUUGGACUCAAACAAGAGCUGCGUAAUAGAGCUAGACCUAACCUUCUGAAAUUAUUUAAUCCUCGCAAUAUGUAACGUAACAUAUUCAUUUACUAGUUAGUAAAAGAUAGCUAAGACUCCUAAUAGCACAAAGCAAGCAACAUUCGAGCAUCGAGUACACACAAUCAAGCAUCUACUACUCUGGUUAUCAUACUGACAAUUCUGUACUAGCAUGCAGUUCUCAUUAAGCUGGAACACAUAUAACGGGUGUAUAAGGCAUCCUUCCUAGAUCGUUAGUCCUAAUCUAGCAUGUUGUUCUAAAUAAGCUGAUAAUCAGAACAUAGCAUAAACUUGUAUGGGUAAUUUGUGAGUACUUACUUGAACUUGGCUGAUUGCACGCACGACACCCCUUUUUCUCUUUUCAAAGUUAUUUUCUUUCAAAAAAAAAAAAAUCUUUUUGCUUUUCUAAAACUCUUUUCUUUUGAAAACUUUAUACCACUUCCUUAGUUUGAGUUUAUACACACUCGGAAGUGCGUCCGAAUCCCUCAAACCAAGGCUCUGAUACCAACUUGUAACAUCCUAAAAAUACAGUCAAAAAAUUUCGUUUUAAUUUAAUAAUAAAACCAUAGUGAUCGAACAUCAUAUAGAAAUCAUAAACAGUGUAUCUCAAAAUAUCAUAACAAUUGUCAAACUAUCAAAUUAUAAACAUCCCAGGCUGAACAGAUGGUGUGUGCACUACAAUCUUCCCGAGCUCCUCUUUGAAAACUGAGUACCUGAAACCAAGCUAAAACUAUAAGCAUGAAGCUUAGUGAGCUCCCCCAAACUACCACAUACCAUACAAUAACAUAUAAAGCACAUACUAGGGCUUGCCCACUGCAUCAGACCGAAGUCUGGAACUAACUAGGGCCUUACCCUCUACAUCGGACCGAAGUCUGGAAUUGACUAGGGCCUUGCCAUCUGCAUCGAACCGAAGUCCAAAACUGAUUAGGGCCUUGCCCACUGCAUCGAACCGAAGUCCGGAACUAACUAGGGCCUUUCCCAUUGCAUCAGACCGAAGUCCGGAACUAACUAGGGCCUUACCCACUGCAUCAGACCAAAGUCCGGAAUUAACUAGGGCCUUGCCCACUACAUCGGACUGAAGUCCGGAUCUGACUGAACAUAGCAUAGUAAAAUCAUAACAUAUAACAAUAACACAUAUACUGCAUACUGCAUCGCACCGCAGUCCGGAACACAUAACACAUAGACAUGCCUGAAUCACAAAGACAUCAAGCAUAUUGAACUACUUCUCUGGACCACCCCGUCAUCAAACCAUAGUCCGAAACUACUGCCAUCUAAACGGGCCGACAUUGUGGCCGUAGCCCAUUCCUACUUGAAGGAAACUCACCUCACAUGCUGAAGUCCCGCUGACAAAACCAUAGCUGCUAGAUGACAGAUUCCCGAUUUGUCAAUAUCAAAAUAACACGUAAUUACUAAUUGGGUUCCAACUCAUAUUCAUAAGUCCAUGCUUGGGUAAGAGACUACCUUACCCCAAUCUUAGCUUGACUCAAGCCCAAGGACCAAUCCAAAGGCCCAAAGGUCUAAUAAUGCACCAAAGCCCAACUAUGGCCCAAUUUUCCCAAUUGGGCCCAAAUCUCUACAUGGUCUUGAUCAAAAGCCCAACCAUUUAGUCUAGUCCAACAUUUGGCAUUUUAAUGGCCCAUUAUUAUAUAACCAUCAAGGCCCAAACUAUGGCCUAAUUUUCCAAAUUGGGUCCAAACCCUCAUAUGGGCCUUACCCUAAGACCAGUUAAUUAUUCUAAUUUGUUUGCUUGCUCUUGGAUGGUCCAUUAUUAUCCCAAUCACCAAGGCCCAAUAGGAAGGCCCAACUCAAGUCCAAGUAAAAUUAGGGUUUCACAUAAAAUGACAAUUAUGGUUAAGUGUUUCUCACUUAACUCAUUAAGGACUUAAUCCAUUAAGUCCUUUACUCUACUAGAUAAAUGAUAUGGAAUAAUUUGGGCUUACUACACAAUCCAAUCCUAAUGGCCCAAAGGUGGGUCCUAAUAAGUCGAAGGCCCAAACACUCACAAUUAGGGAUUUCUACCCAAACAUGGCCCAAUAGGCCCAAAAUUAAUCUGUAAGCCCAUUAGGGUUUUGCUAGGUCCAUUAAGGUUUUGCUUGGGGGCACCACCCACUACCUACUUGGGUAGUGGUGGUCAACGACGGUUCACAGCGGUGGCCACCACCUUACGGUGGUGGUUAUGGUUCUUUUCAUUACAUUUUCUACUAAUUACAAUUACAAGUAUUUAAUCCGUAAAUAAACAUACACACACACACACUAACCACUGUAAAACACACUCAGAAAACGACUCUAUUGGUGGCUGGGGGGNNNNNNNNNNNNNCAGCCACCACCAUGGAGGUGGUGGUGGCUUUUCCUAUGAACUCUAACUAGACAAAACACACACACAUACUUUAGAUUGCACACAACACUCCAGCCACCCACCUGGUGGCUCAAGGGGACAACAACGACGAUAUUGGGAUGGUAGCCACCACCGCACGGUGGUGGCGGUGGUUUCUGUUGGUUCCUAGACAAGCAGCAACACACCUACGCGACUAUGUUUGCAAGGCGCACCCAGCUACCCACCUGGUGGCGUUUGGCAAUGGCAGAAACAACUCAAGCGGCUCAUCGGCGGCAUAACGGUGUCUAACAACGGCGACGAUGUACAGCGGGACAAGGCGGCAACAACAAUGUACCAUUCGAAAGAAAUGGAGAAAAGAGAAGGCUGAGCGAUGGCGAACUGAGCAAGGGAAUGCUCCCGAUCACAGCCAACCUCACAAGGGCCCAUGGCAGUUAGAGGGAAAGCUUCAUCCACAACUGCAACCUCUGCUCGAUAAAGUGAUGGUGGCAAUAACUCGACGGUAGAAGAAACGGAGACGAGGGGGCGGCAGAAAACGAUGGCAAUAGAAAUCAAUAGAAACCACCUUGACAAACAACUGCUCAUCGUCUUCAUCGACCCUUGGUGGUUCUCCGGCAGCAGCAUCGAAAUGGAGACCUUCCAUAGCAGUGUAUCGGUCGACGGUGCUUAAUGGCGAGGCGGUAGGCAUCCCUAUUGAUCGGAAUAGCGAACAGAAGCGAGGUAGUGGCGGCUGACUUCACUCAUGGCGGCUGGAACCUCUGAGGUUUAGGGUUUGGGAGUAAUAAGGUGACGGGAAGGAAAGGUCACCGAGUAUAUCCACUCCAAUACAAACUUCCUUUCACUUUUGUCACAUAUAGCCCCUCCUUAUCAGUUCUUCUUCAAAUUAAGCCCCAAAAUUUACCUUUUAGCCCCCACCCCCAAGAAUCUAUUCAAUAUAAGUCCAUCAUUUACCAUUUAUACCCUGCCUUAUGAAUUCAAUUUCAUAAUAAAUCGUAAUAAUUACCAAACAUACCCCCACUUCUAAAAUCCUUCACAAAUUAAAUCCGGUAAUUUACUAAACAACCCUCAACUAUUAAAAUUCUUCACAAUUUAGUCCGGGAGUUACAUUUAUUAAUUUAUAUGUUUAUUUAUUAAUUAAACGAGGUGUUACAUAUAAUCACAUAUGAUUAAA